UUUGACAAAAGAAGAAGAAGAAGAAAUGUCUCCAUGGUGUUAAUAACAAUAUAACUUUCAACUCGUCCCUUCAUUCAGUCCACAGGACGUCUUCUUCUGCUGUCUAACUAAACGAUCAGUGUCGCAGCAGACGGUCUGAAACCAACAUGGCCGACUUUAACUGAUCACUGCAGCUCCUCCAGUCAGACUCAGUGACAUCAUCAACCGUCAGCUGCCGCCUGCGACAAAGAUCUGACACACAUCACAUCCCUCCACUGAUGACAUCACCAGGCAUCCAACACUGAGCCGGUGGUGAUGUCAUCAUACGCCUCCAGCCACCAUUUUACUUUAAUAUGUCAAGCUACCUCUGUGCAGUGCAUUAUGGGAGAGCAGCAUCCAUCACUCUGAAUAAACACACACACACACACACACACACACACACACACACACACAGUGUGACUGAGUCUGCAGGUCAGCAUCACGUGACCUCUGACCUCCUCACUACAGUCUGUUACAGGUCCAGCUGUUGGCAAAGUGUUCUGGUGAUAAAGCCUCUGUGGGCUCACAUUCCCUCAUGUUGCCUCAGAAACUGCCGUGAAGCUGCACUUUGGCCAGUGAACGCAGUUAAACUCUGCGGCCAGAGUUCUGGCACCAAACUCCGUUCGGAAAAGGCUGAAAUUCAGAUGCCUUUGCUUUUUAGCUCGUUUCUGUUGAAGAACAGACACAACUCGGACUUCUUUAAGUUUGCACUUGUCUCCUGCUUGAUUCGUCAUCGACACAUCAAACUAACAGCGACUUAUUCUGAUGACAUUUUGAGUUGUUUACUGAUUCAGAUGCUCGCAAACAGGAUCCGGCUGCACUCCGAGAGUCGCAGUCAACUGAAGAGAAGUUUGACAUCAGAUCAGCUGCAGCUCGGUGGAUUUAUUCAAAGAGUUCAUCAGAUUCAAACGUACGACGGAAACUUUAAAUUCACAAGAAGAAGAAAAGAAGCCACAUGUCAAAACAUUCUGGACUGACGAAUAAACUCCGAACCACGAACUGGCCCGGUGAACACUCACCGUGUCCGCAGCUGCCUCCGGGACUCCGGGACAAAAACACAAGAACCCACAGAACCAGCUUCAUCUUCUCAUUCUGUGGAUGUGAAACCGUCAUCCGCAUGAACCGGGUCAGUUCGGCUCGGCUCCUCUCCCUCACUGAAGCCUCAUCUCCAGCCGGACAAACAGGAUGUCCACCGGAGAAACGACUGGGUCCAGCGGUCCGGACCAGAACAUGUUAAACUCAUACAGUCGGAUCCAAGUCGCUGAGGAACAAACUGCUGAUUAAAGAUGAAAGUUCGCCUCCUUCGUGUUCCGCUCAGGAGAGAAAACACAGAGCUGGUGUAACUUUGGACCAGCAGCAGAACCUCGCGUCCCGCCGCGGCUCGUCUCAGGCACAAAAUGGCGUCAAGGCAGCGAUAUUACAGCACCACGACACCGGAAAUCAACCGCCUUCAAAAAUAAAAGACGCUCAUAUUUUGAAAAACAGAUUUUAAAUAUUUUACGUACAACUUGUAUUUAAUUUGAACGUUUAUAUUUCAUACAUAUUGACUGAAUCAGUAACAUAAGUCAUUAAAAAAACAAAUAUCAGAAGCCUUACUGGUCAGUUUAUAUUUCACUUGUAAUAGAGACAUUUAGUUUUCAACAAUUUCUGUCAUUCAUUAAUAAACAACUAUUUACAUA
Acanthopagrus latus (yellowfin seabream) is the source of this 1697-nucleotide long non-coding RNA. RefSeq lists it as uncharacterized. The record is from RefSeq and is a predicted model, not a curated record. The transcript has 2 exons. Lineage: Eukaryota; Metazoa; Chordata; Actinopteri; Spariformes; Sparidae.